CUGCUCAAUGAUAAUUAAAUUAAAUAGCUGCAAUAUUUUAAUUGUACAAAGGUAGCAUAAUCAUUUGUUUUUUAAUUGAAAACUUGUAUGAAAGAUUGAAUGAAAUAUUAACUGUCUCAAAAUUAAUUAAAUAAAUUUAAUAUUUAAGUUAAAAAUCUUAAAUAAUUAAAAUAGACGAUAAGACCCUAUAGAAUUUAAAUUAUUUUAAAUUAAUUUAUUUUUAAUUUAAAAUAAUUAAAUUAAUUUAUAUAAUUUUAAUUGGGGGGAUUAUAAAAUUAAAAAAACUUUUAUUUUUAAAAACAUAAAUUUAUGAAAAUUUUUAAUGAAUUAUUUAUUAUAAUUAUAAGAAUAAAUUACCUUAGGGAUAACAGCAUAAUUUUUUUUUAUAGUUCAUAUUGAAAAAAAAGUUUAUGACCUCGAUGUUGAAUUAAAAUUAAUUUUUAAUGAAAAUAUUAAAAAAUU
RNAcentral lists this ribosomal RNA (462 nucleotides) under Ropronia garmani. RNAcentral describes it as "partial 16S rRNA". Lineage: Eukaryota; Metazoa; Arthropoda; Insecta; Hymenoptera; Roproniidae. The record is from RNAcentral.